RNAcentral lists this ribosomal RNA (497 nucleotides) under uncultured bacterium. RNAcentral describes it as "partial 16S ribosomal RNA". It matches the Rfam family "Bacterial small subunit ribosomal RNA", at positions 28 to 507 of the family's 1533-position model. The record is from RNAcentral.
GAUGAACGCUGGCGGCGUGCCUAAUACAUGCAAGUCGAGCGAACAGACGAGGCGCUUGCUCCUCUGACGUUAGCGGCGGACGGGUGAGUAACACGUGGAUAACCUACCUAUAAGACUGGGAUAACUUCGGGAAACCGGAGCUAAUCCCGGAUAAUAUAUUGAACCACAUGGUUCAAUAGUGAAAGACGGUUUUGCUGUCACUUCUCGAUGGAUCCGCGCCGCAUUAGAUAGUUGGUACGGUACCGGCUUACCAAGGCAACGAUGCGUAGCCGACCUGAUAGGGGGAUAGGCCGCACGAGAGCUUGGACGGCGUCCAGGCUCCUACGAGAGGGAGCAGUAGGCAACCGGCCGCAAUGGUCGGAAGCAUGGCAGAACGGCGCGGCGUGUGUGAUGAAGAUCUUCGGAUCGUAAUACUGUGUUAUGAGUUAAGAACAAAUGUGGAAGGAAAUAUGCACGUCGUGACGGUACCUAAUCAGAAAGCCACGGCUAACUACGUG